This 253-nucleotide ribosomal RNA is filed under the name uncultured bacterium. RNAcentral describes it as "partial 16S ribosomal RNA". It matches the Rfam family "Bacterial small subunit ribosomal RNA", at positions 524 to 776 of the family's 1533-position model. The record is from RNAcentral.
UACAGAGGUCCCAAGCGUUGUUCGGAUUCAUUGGGCGUAAAGGGUGCGUAGGUGGCGGGGUAAGUCAGGUGUGAAAUUUCGGAGCUCAACUCCGAAACUGCAUUUGAUACUGCCUUGCUUGAGGACUGGAGAGGAGACUGGAAUUCACGGUGUAGCAGUGAAAUGCGUAGAUAUCGUGAGGAAGACCAGUGGCGAAGGCGGGUCUCUGGACAGUUCCUGACACUGAGGCACGAAGGCCAGGGGAGCAAACGGG